CCUACGGGCGGCAGCAGUGGGGAAUAUUGGGCAAUGGGCGCAAGCCUGACCCAGCAACGCCGCGUGAAGGAAGAAGGCUUUCGGGUUGUAAACUUCUUUUAUCAGGGAAGAUGAAUGAGACUGUACCUGAUGAAUAAGCCACGGCUAACUACGUGCCAGCAGCCGCGGUAAUACGUAGGUGGCAAGCGUUGUCCGGAUUUACUGGGUGUAAAGGGCGUGUAGGCGGGAUUGCAAGUCAGGCGUGAAAACCAGAGGCUCAACCUCUGGCCUGCGUUUGAAACUGCAGUUCUUGAGUACUGGAGAGGUUGGCGGAAUUCCUAGUGUAGCGGUGAAAUGCGUAGAUAUUAGGAGGAACACCAGUGGCGAAGGCGGCCAACUGGACAGCAACUGACGCUGAGGCGCGAAAGCGUGGGGAGCAAACAGGAUUAGAUACCCCGGUAGUC
This 443-nucleotide ribosomal RNA is filed under the name uncultured bacterium. Its description in RNAcentral is "bacterial SSU rRNA". It matches the Rfam family "Bacterial small subunit ribosomal RNA", at positions 338 to 795 of the family's 1533-position model. The record is from RNAcentral.